Molecule: ribosomal RNA, 1688 nt
Filed under: human gut metagenome
Description: bacterial LSU rRNA
Rfam family: Bacterial large subunit ribosomal RNA
Source: RNAcentral
UGUGGACUGCUAUCAAAUGCAUGAGUGAAGCAGAAUGAGCUGGGAAGCUCAGCCAGAGAGAGUGAGAGCCUCGUAGGCGUAAGCGAAUGCAUGGAGCAGGAUCCGGAGUACCACGGGACACGAGAAACCCUGUGGGAAGCUGGGGGGACCACCCUCCAAGGCGAAACACUGAUAUGGACCGAUAGCGCAUAGUACCGUGAGGGAAAGGUGAAAAGAACCCCGGGAGGGGAAUGAAAGAGAACCUGAAACCGUAUGUCUACAAGCAGUCGAAGACCUUUAUAUGGUCGACGGCGUGCCUAUUGAAGAAUGAACCGGCGAGUUACUUCAGCUAGCGAGGUUAAGCAGAAAAUGCGGAGCCGCAGCGAAAGCGAGUCUGAACAGGGCGUAUAGUUAGUUGGAGUAGACCCGAAACCACAGUGAUCUACCCAUGUCCAGGUUGAAGCACAGGUAAAAAUGUGUGGAGGACCGAACCAGUGAGCGUUGAAAAGCUUUUGGAUGAGAUGUGGGUAGGGGUGAAAUGCCAAUCGAACGUGGAGAUAGCUGGUUCUCCCCGAAAUAGCUUUAGGGCUAGCCUCAUGGCGAGAGUACAGGCGGUAGAGCACUGAACGGGGUAGGGGCCUAUCCGGCUACUGAACCUAAUCAAACUGCGAAUGGCUGUACUUAUCCAUGGGAGUCAGACUGUGAGUAAUAAGGCCCAUAGUCAAGAGGGAAACAGCCCAGACCAACAGCUAAGGUCCCCAAUGCCGUACUAAGUGGCGAAGGAUGUGGAAUUUCGAAAACAACCAGGAUGUUGGCUCAGAAGCAGCCACCAUUAAAAGAGUGCGUAAUAGCUCACUGGUCGAGAGACUCUGCGCCGAAGAUGUCCGGGGCUAAAGUACGGAACCGAAGCUUUGGCAAUUAACAUAAGUUAAUUGGGUAGGGGAGCGUUCCUGCAUGGGAGAAGCCUGACCGGAAGGACAGGUGGACAGGCAGGAAGAGAGAAUGCCGGUAUGAGUAGCGAAAAGAAGGGUGAGAAUCCCUUCCACCGAAAGCCUAAGGGUUCCUGGGCAACGAUCGUCGUCCCAGGGUAAGUCGGGACCUAAUCCGAGGCGGAGACGCGUAGGAGAUGGACAACAGGUUGAAAUUCCUGUACUGGCUGAGGCCGUUUGAGCGAAGGAGUGACACAGGAAGGAAGGCGCGCGUGCGAUUGGAAGAGCACGUCCAAGCAGGUAGGUCGGGAGACAGGCAAAUCCGUUUCCCGUAAGGCCGAGAUGCGAUGGGGAGCUUCUGGAGACAGAAGCGAAGGGGCUGGCACUAAACUGUCGAGAAAAGCUUCUAGUGAGGACUCAGGCACCCGUACCGAAACCGACACAGGUAGGCAGGAUGAGAAUUCUAAGGUGCGCGGGAAAACCCUCGUUAAGGAACUCGGCAAAAUAUAUCCGUAACUUCGGGAAAAGGAUAACCCAGCGUACGUGAAGUGCAGAAGCGCAUGGAGCGGAGAUGGGUGGCAGAAGAGAGGCCCAAGCGACUGUUUACCACAAACACAGGCGUCUGCUAAAGCGAAAGCUGAUGUAUAGAUGCUGACACCUGCCCGGUGCUGGAAGGUUAAGAGGAAGUGUUAGCGCAAGCGAAGCAGUGAAUUGAAGCCCCAGUAAACGGCGGCCGUAACUAUAACGGUCCUAAGGUAGCGAAAUUCCUUGUCGGGUAAG